GUUUUAGCUUCGUGGUAGAGUGCUUGCCUAGCAUGCAUGAGGCCCUGGGUUCAGUCCCCAGCACUGAAUA
This 70-nucleotide transfer RNA is filed under the name Marmota monax (woodchuck). RNAcentral's name for it is "tRNA.Ala". Lineage: Eukaryota; Metazoa; Chordata; Mammalia; Rodentia; Sciuridae. The record is from RNAcentral.